This 253-nucleotide ribosomal RNA is filed under the name uncultured bacterium. Its description in RNAcentral is "partial 16S ribosomal RNA". It matches the Rfam family "Bacterial small subunit ribosomal RNA", at positions 524 to 776 of the family's 1533-position model. The record is from RNAcentral.
GACAGAGGGUGCAAACGUUAUCCGGAAUUAUUGGGCGUAAAGAGCUCGUAGGCGGUCUGUCGCGUCUGCUGUGAAAACUGGGGGCUCAACCCCCAGCCUGCAGUGGGUACGGGCAGACUAGAGUGCGGUAGGGGAGAUUGGAAUUCCUGGUGUAGCGGUGGAAUGCACAGAUAUCAGGAGGAACACCGAUGGCGAAGGCAGAUCUCUGGGCCGUAACUGACGCUGAGGAGCGAAAGCAUGGGGAGCGAACAGG